AUGCUCACUUUGGCAGGACAUAUACUAAAACUGGAACAAUACAGAGAAGAUUAGCAUGGUCCCUGCACAAGGAUGACACAAAAAUUCAUGAAGCGUUCCAUAUUUUC
RNAcentral lists this small nuclear RNA (107 nucleotides) under Microcebus murinus (gray mouse lemur). The record is from RNAcentral. Lineage: Eukaryota; Metazoa; Chordata; Mammalia; Primates; Cheirogaleidae.